RNAcentral lists this long non-coding RNA (676 nucleotides) under Mytilus galloprovincialis (Mediterranean mussel). Lineage: Eukaryota; Metazoa; Mollusca; Bivalvia; Mytilida; Mytilidae. The record is from RNAcentral.
AUUGAUGCCAUGUAAAUAUGUGACGUUAUCCAAUCAAAGUGAAUGUUACAAACGUUGUUGCAUUAGAAUUUGCAUUAAUUGUACUAAAACUAUGACUACAACUCAAUGAAACAGGAGGUUUUUGCUGUACAGUUUUUUCUGUGUCAAAAACCUAUUAUGUGUCAAAUAUUUAAUUACAAUCCAAAUUUAGACCUGUAUCAAGCGUGAAUAUAAUUUGUGUCCAUUUUGGUCCCAACUUUUCAGGGUCGAACAUCUGCUGUCGUAUUUAUUUUGUUUUUAAGAUUUCAUAAGAAGAAUUCUUGAUGCACACUUGAAGAAUUCAUAUACGAUCACUAAUAGAGAUGUCUAUAUAUACUGAUAUACUUAUACAUUUUUGUACAUGGAAUCCUUUGGUCAGCACAAACGUUUAUCCUCAUGUGUGAUUUUCUCCAAAUAAAACGCCCCUGCCUCUCAAUUAAUAAUUUAAUAACAUGGCUCUCCUAUUAGUAUGAUGGACUUAAAUCUGUUAUGCCAGUGUAAAAUGUGUUGUCUUUUUGAUAAAAUGAAAUUAUCUCCAAGUAUUUCAUGGCCAUGUGUUUUAUUAUACCACAAUGUCUGCAUUUUUUGUUUGUUGACUAAGUACAAUAUACCAAGAAUAUAAACACACAACAAGUGAUUGAAAAGUAAGCAUCACUUU